GGCGCCGUCUGUGGAAAUGCUUCCUAUCCACACAUACUCCCUCUUGACUAAGGGGCUGUGUUGUGGGGUAGAGAGGACUUCUUUAGUCCCAUAUAAUAUUAAAGCUUAAGGCUCACUGAAGCCUAAAAAUGAUCAUGAGUUAAAGCGGACAAUACCUUAUGUAUGCGGAGAUGGAGGUAUAAGCCAAUCAUCUGAGCCAUUCGAUCUCUUGACCCAUGACC
RNAcentral lists this long non-coding RNA (221 nucleotides) under Elaeis guineensis (African oil palm). RNAcentral's name for it is "long non-coding RNA (EGUI_LNC007360)". Lineage: Eukaryota; Viridiplantae; Streptophyta; Magnoliopsida; Arecales; Arecaceae. The record is from RNAcentral.